RNAcentral lists this ribosomal RNA (468 nucleotides) under uncultured bacterium. RNAcentral describes it as "partial 16S ribosomal RNA". It matches the Rfam family "Bacterial small subunit ribosomal RNA", at positions 28 to 507 of the family's 1533-position model. The record is from RNAcentral.
GACGAACGCUGGCGGCGUGCUUAACACAUGCAAGUCGAACGGAAAGGCCCUGCGUUUGUGGGUUGCUCGAGUGGCGAACGGGUGAGUAACACGUGAGUAACCUGCCCUUGACUUUGGGAUAACUUCAGGAAACUGGGGCUAAUACCGGAUAGGAGCUCCUGCUGCAUGGUGUGGGUUGGAAAGUUUCGGCGGUUGGGGAUGGACUCGCGGCUUAUCAGCUUGUUGGUGGGGUAGUUGCUUACCAAGGCUUUGACGGGUAGCCGGCCUGAGAGGGUUACCGGCCACAUUGGGACUGAGAUACGGACCAGACUCCUACGGGCGGCAGCAGUGGGGAAUAUUGCACAAUGGGCGGAAGCCUGAUGCAGCAACGCCGCGUGCGGGAUGACGGCCUUCGGGUUGUAAACCGCUUUCGACUGUGACGAAGCGUGAGUGACGGUAAUGGGUAAAGAAGCACCGGCUAACUACGUG